RNAcentral lists this ribosomal RNA (468 nucleotides) under uncultured bacterium. RNAcentral's name for it is "partial 16S ribosomal RNA". It matches the Rfam family "Bacterial small subunit ribosomal RNA", at positions 28 to 507 of the family's 1533-position model. The record is from RNAcentral.
GACGAACGCUGGCGGCGUGCUUAACACAUGCAAGUCGAACGGAAAGGCCCUGCUUUUGUGGGGUGCUCGAGUGGCGAACGGGUGAGUAACACGUGAGUAACCUGCCCUUGACUUUGGGAUAACUUCAGGAAACUGGGGCUAAUACCGGAUAGGAGCUCCUGCUGCAUGGUGGGGGUUGGAAAGUUUCGGCGGUUGGGGAUGGACUAGCGGCUUAUCAGCUUGUUGGUGGGGUAGUGGCUUACCAAGGCUUUGACGGGUAGCCGGCCUGGGAGGGUGACCGGCCACCUUGCGCCUGAGAUACGGCCCAGACUCCUACGGGAGGCAGCAGUGGGGAAUAUUGCACAAUGGGCGGAAGCCUGAUGCAGCAACGCCGCGUGCGGGAUGACGGCCUUCGGGUUGUAAACCGCUUUCGCCUGUGACGAAGCGUGAGUGACGGUAAUGGGUAAAGAAGCACCGGCUAACUACGUG